GAUGAACGCUGGCGGCGUGCCUAAUACAUGCAAGUCGAGCGAACAGAUAAGGAGCUUGCUCCUUUGACGUUAGCGGCGGACGGGUGAGUAACACGUGGAUAACCUACCUAUAAGACUGGGAUAACUUCGGGAAACCGGAGCUAAUACCGGAUAACAUAUUGAACCGUAUGGUUCAAUAGUGAAAGGCGGCUUUGCUGUCACUUAUAGAUGGAUCCGCGCCGUAUUAGCUAGUUGGUAAGGUAACGGCUUACCAAGGCAACGAUACGUAGCCGACCUGAGAGGGUGAUCGGCCACACUGGAACUGAGACACGGUCCAGACUCCUACGGGAGGCAGCAGUAGGGAAUCUUCCGCAAUGGGCGAAAGCCUGACGGAGCAACGCCGCGUGAGUGAUGAAGGUCUUCGGAUCGUAAAACUCUGUUAUCAGGGAAGAACAAAUGUGUAAGUAACUGUGCACAUCUUGACGGUACCUGAUCAGAAAGCCACGGCUAACUACGUG
Molecule: ribosomal RNA, 497 nt
Filed under: uncultured bacterium
Lineage: Bacteria
Description: partial 16S ribosomal RNA
Rfam family: Bacterial small subunit ribosomal RNA
Source: RNAcentral